ACCACCAGGAGAUUCAGGGCCAUUGGCCCAAGCCCGACCUGUGACCUGGGGGAUCACAAUUGAUGAUGUCACAACCAGACUCCAUUGGCCUCAGUCCUGGGGGUGAGGCCUCAAGGGCUGCCCAGUCCUGCCUGUGCCCAGCCUGGGUUUCAGCCGGGCCAGUCUCGGCUCCAGCCCGGAGCUAGGGACCAGGCAGCGGCAGCGCGUGUGUCUGUGCCACCUGAUAGGGCCUCCAGUGCGGACUGUGCAGCAAGACCCCCCAUGGCAGCUGCAGAGCAGCCUUAGCACAAUCUCCCCAGAGACCAACUGCCCUUCUCGGCCCAGGGUCAUUGGGCCACGCCCCGACCUGUGACCUGGGGGAUCACAAUUGAUGAUGUCACAGCCAGACUCCACAGUCCUGGGGGUGAGGCGCCCGGGGCUGCUCAGACCUGCCCUGCCCAGCCGGGGUGUCAGUUGGGCCAGCCUCUGCUGCCACCUGAGAAAUCUGAUGGAGGCCCGGGCUGUAGCUGCUGCCAAGCUGCUUGGAAGUCACCCAGGUGGGGAUGCUGGCAAGGCCCUUGGGACAGUAGAAAGGCCGCUCUGGAGGCCACCAGUGCGGAUUGUGCAGCAAGAUCCCCCGUGGCAGCUCCAGAGGAGCGUCAGCACAGAUCUCCGCAGAGACCAACUGCCGAUCUCAUCCCCAGACACAUCAGAAGUUGCCUGCUCCCUGACAGCUCCCAUCAGGCCCAGCAGCUGUGAGGAAGAGAACCAUUGAGGUGGCUUAGGAAGAAAUGCCCGAGGAAUGACAAUCUCUCUGCUGUCACACUGCCCGGGCAGGACUGGCCCUAAUUGUGCAACUUCCUUCCCUCCUGAACAAGAGGCAGAAAGCGGCCCUGCUGGGCCAGAAGCAGCAUCUUUCUGUGGGGCACCAGGACCACCAGACAUCGGGUCAGCUGAGGCAUGGUCCUCUAGGACCGAGCCCGACUGCUGCCCGCUCAGACCCUGAGUGCCCGGGCGGCUGCCUCUGGGGCGUGAUGCAUCGGGUCAAUAAACACGCCUCUGAGGAAC
Molecule: long non-coding RNA, 1047 nt
Filed under: Sarcophilus harrisii (Tasmanian devil)
Lineage: Eukaryota; Metazoa; Chordata; Mammalia; Dasyuromorphia; Dasyuridae
Description: lncRNA (ENSSHAG00000021247.1)
Source: RNAcentral